Mus musculus (house mouse) is the source of this 2949-nucleotide long non-coding RNA. RefSeq annotates it as predicted gene, 33936. The transcript is spliced from 8 exons. The record is from RefSeq and is a predicted model, not a curated record. NCBI's taxonomy places the organism in Eukaryota, Metazoa, Chordata, Mammalia, Rodentia, Muridae.
AAGAAGAAGAAGAAGAAGAAGAAGAAGAAGAAGAAGAAGCCAAAGCUAUAGGAUUUGAUGUCAGUGAUCUGAGGCACACACUUUGAGAAACAAUGACAGAACUGGAAAACAUGCUCCAGUUAUAAAUAGCUGCACAGAUCACACAGCUGAUCUGUUGUGUAACUGGGAUAGACCUGGCUCUUCCCACUGCUAUACAGAACAUUUUCCACUCUUAGUAUACGUUUAUAAGCUUUGAGUGUAUGCUGGUUGCCAUGGGAGCACUGCAGCUUGAUGAUAUCCUACAGCCAACUGUAGCUGUGUUUGGAGGCACAUGAUGACAGCCAUCUUUAGAAGAAUCUAACGUCAUGGUUUAUUAUGGUUUUUAUAGCUUCUACUUUCCUGUAAAUUCUUUGAAAAUUGUAAAUAUGCUUGCUGACACCAUGAUCAUUUGUCAGAAGAAAAUGCCUUGUGAGCCAGGAUAUGCAAAUUGGUUGGAGGUAACCCUAACUGAGUAAGUCAACGAAGGAAUGAGAGUUGGCCCAAAGGUGUUGCAAUGUAGGAAAUGUCAUUCUGGCUGAGAGCACCGACUAUCAUUGGAAGGAAUAUAUCAGGACUUGGGAGUUUGAUCACAAAGGACCACCUCAUUGAACAAAGGUGGCUCAUGCAGUUUCCUAAGACAGAUCUUUGUGGUAACCUGUCUGUAACGCAGCUAAGACAGAAGAAUCACCAUUGGCUACACAGUAAGUUCCAGGCUAGCGUGGGCUACAGAGUAAAGUACGGUGUCAAAAAACAACUGCCCAGAUAACCAAUGAAAGACCUGUAUUACAAACAAAGCAGAAAUACAAAAUAUCCCCAAACCAGAACUUCUUGGGCACUACUGUGGUCUGAGUGUGGAAAGUCCACUGUAGGUUCAUAGGUGGGAAACUCUGGGCCCAGCUGGUUUCACUGUUUGGGAAGGUUGUGAAACCUUUAGGAAAUGGAGGUUUGCUGGAGGAAGUGGGUCACUAGGGGACAGGCCUUGAGGUUACAUAAUCUGCUCCCAUUUCUCUUUCACUCUCUGCUUCCUGGUGGUUGACUAACAAGCCUCUUGCUCCAGGCCAUCACCAUUAUGAUAAAAUGUGUCAUCCUGUACCUUGAUGCAGAACAAAUCCUUCCUUCUGCAAUGGCAUCUUGUGGAUAUUGUGUCAUAGCAGGAAGAAAAGUAGCUAACAGAGACACCAAGAUGAUGUCACCUGUGGCAAAAUCUACUGCCUGUGAAACCUUACACAGAGUUAUUGAAAUAUAUAUCUACCUUCAAACUAUGCUCCAGGAAGAACGUGCUGAGCCUGGGGAGCUGGAGAGGGAGAGAGGCCAUUAUGGCCAUCACAAUACCAUCAACAUGUCACAGUAGCCAGGUCCCUCUGCCAAGUACUCAUAUCUCUGCUUGGCUGAACACCAGCCUAGGCUAAGGUACAGUUAGAAAGAAUAGCAGUUUCAUUGGAAGGAACUGACAGAAAACAACCCUUCAUGUGAGCUUCACUGGGAGAAAGACUCUGGAUGACAGGCCUUCAUGAUUGGAAUUUGAAGUGGCAGAACAUUAGAUCCGAGCUGAGACUGUAGUCAAGGACAUAGCAGAAAGAAGAGGGAAGAGAAGCCAGGAGGAAAUCUGGACAGCUCUGACACGGAGGACGGAGUCCUGGUGUCAGCCGCCCCAAGCCGAGAACUCGAGUCUCAUGGUUAGUUGGUAGAGACAGUAAAGAGAAACUAUCAAAGCUGUCCAAGACGUGACUGAGCGACCCAACACGCUUCUCAGAUGGAACUUGGGAAAUGGUGUCUCAAGGGAUCCACACAGCCUGUGAGAACUGUAACUACACACCAUCACUUUGUUCUGUGAGCAGUCCAAGGACACUGAGGAUGCUGGCUUGAGGAAACCUGCCCGAGCCCUCAGGAAGCAAUAGCUGAAACGGCUAACCCACCAUCUCUCCGUUGCCAAAGGCUGCCUGCCCAGCACUUCCACAGCAGUCUAGCUGCUCCACAGUAGCAUUAAGAACCCAAAGUCUUCUCAAAACAGGCAAAGGGCUGGGUGUUGUUCCCUCAAAGUAGCUGCUGACCCCAUCUUACUGACCAACAAUGGAAAACAGCAAGGGGAGCUAUUCAGGGAGAAGGACACCUGCAGAGUGGGGAGGGGGACCUUGUGCACAUAGAAAAACACUGGAGAAGCCAGGAAAGUUACACACACAGCUUACCUCUUCAGUGGACUGGAAGGCCAGGAGUGGUGGAAUCAGCCUGUGGUCCUUUGCUGUCUGUUUUAAGGUCUCAGUAAUCUGAAAGCUGCUGGAAACAUCGGGCUCCCAGCAGUGAAGAGAUGCUGGCCUCCUGGGUACAGACCAAGUUUCCAUUUCUGUGAAAACGAUGGUGUGAUCCCUGGAGCUGUAGCAGCUUGCUUGAGGCAGCCCUCCCAUUAACCAGAAAGUACCAGGAGACUGCGGUGAUAAGGAGACCCACCACCAACUGCUUCCUUCUAGCCUUGAGAGAUGAAAAGGCUUCCUGAAGCAUCUGAUGCCCACGAGCCGAGCCGAGCCGCGGGACCCAGUUGCUGUGGGAGAAGAAAGGGUGAUGUGGGCAUGGCUCUAGUGUUUUCCUGAAGACAGCACUAAAACAAACCGAACAAAACAAACAAACUAAACUAAAAACCUAUAGCAAUCUUAAAAGCCAAGACAGAGCUAAAUGACAAGGCAGUGUUUGGUUUCAGGCCCCGGUACAAGGGACUGAGGUGCACAGUUAACACAGCAAAGCAGAUCAGGCCUCUAGGCCCACCUAGCAUCCCUCAGUCCCCGUGUGCCUUACCUGGACCCCAACCCUAAACUUUCCAGCCCAGGGGCUGGGAUGCCCUUCCCCCAGGGGCUCCUCCCUAUAUAAUCCCCUCCUAGAGGCUCUUCCCCCUAAUCCAGACAUUUUGUGCUCUCUCUCUCUCUCUCUCUCUCUCUCUCU